UAAACCUGCCCCAACAUCCAAGUAACGUUAAGCUAGCUACCUUAUGGAGGCUGAUGCCCACGUUGGCCGUAAAGGGAAGCAACUUUCCAGCUGUGAGAGCUAACACACAAAGUCGGGGCUAGAAGGAAGAAAGCGAAGCUCACUCAGCAGCACGGAGGCAGACAGACAGGCAGCCUGGCGUCAGCUCCACUGACAUGAAGACUUUCUAAGCUCACAAGAAGAGGAAAACUAACCACUCACCGACGAACAUCUGCGGAUUUGUUCGAGGAUUUGUUGCUGGGAGGUUUUGUUCAUCCUCCACGACGAGACAAAGACGCGGACAGACGUCGCAGUUCAGCUGAGUCGCCAGCUGUCCUUCACCACAGGAGCCAUGGUGGCAGCAGUGCUGAAGAUGUACUUCAUUGGAACGGCGCUCAGCGUCCUCGCGGUCCUCUUUGGAUUAGCAGACUCUGUUGGCGGUCUGAUGUACCACCAGAACCAUCACUACACCGAGGAGCCGGUCCACCAGACAAAGACACAGAGACAGGAUUCCUCAGCGAGUCACCGGAGAGGAUCGCUGGUGACUAAACACAUUGGCUCAUGAGGGCAGACAUCUUGGUCACAAUUUGGCAGCUGGAUGGACGUGCUGGGUGCUGUGGGCACCCUGGAUACUGUAGCAAUGGAAGAACGGACGAUGAGACUUGAAUAAUUGCACUGACAAACAGAUCAAUGCUGGUGGUUUGUUGAAUUUUGGAGAAUCCGUCGGCGUGUCGCCAUUCGCUCCACUGUGUGAUGUCAGACACUGUGACUCUGACUGCACUAUCAAACUGUUUUCUGCACUAGACAUUAGGAAAUGUUUGGGGUUUUCAUCAGGUCACUAAUGUGUGUUUUUUAUUGUUCGUUUUAUUCUUUGUAAUAAACUGAAUUAUGUGUUGUAAUGAGUUUACUGAGGUCUCUUAAUACGAACAAAGCAGCCGCUGUUUACUGAUGGAAGCCAUUAAAUAAAACUAGCUUCAUGAGAAAAUGUGGUCAUGCUGUCAUAAUUGUGAAAUUAAAGGUCUAUUAUGAGGGAAAUAUGAGAUAUAAUGUCAAAAUUGUUACAAUUAUGUAAAGUAAAUAAUAAUAUAAUUAUGAGAUGAAGUCAAACCUAUAGAGAAAAAGUGGGAGAGAAAGUCAUGGUGUUGAGAUAAAAGUCUAAAUUAUGAGUUAUGAAAAGUCAAAUGUAUGAUUAUUAUGUCUUUCUUUCUGACUGACAUUUUUAUAUAUAUCAUAAUUUUCUUAUAUCCUUAUAUUAAUUUCCUUUUUAUCUCAUUUAUGACAUCAUGUGAAUUCUUUUUUUUUUAAUCCAUUUUCAUCAAAUCUUUUCUUAAACUGGCACAAACGGGCUUCCAUACUGACACGUAUCAAAUGUGGAAAUGUACUGAGACAAACUAAAACAACUCGAGCAGUGAUUCAAGAGCUUAAAGGAUAAAAACAGAGUUUUGCCUAUAGUUGCAAAAGAAGUUGAGGUGGAGAAAAUCCAGAUAAAUCAGGGAGAACGUCAACCUGUCGUGUUGUCGAAAUAAUGGUUCCGCUUGAUUUCACUUUAAAAGAGGAAAAUACUUAAGUCAGGUAAGAACUCUGUAACGACAGGCAUCUGUGCAGAGGUAACACUACUCCGGCUUUGUGUUGUAUUUGAUUUGUGUCGAUGGACACGGCAUCGCAGCGAGAAUCACAAACCCAUAAGAGCCAACGAGUCCCAACAGACCCCAAGAGCUCUGCAGUAGUCAAGAAAACCUCAACCUAUUAGAGAGAAAACUAAAGAAACCUGAGGCGAGGAUAAAUCCUUCCCUCCUCAAAUGACAUCCGGUUAUAUAAUUGUGUUUUGUCUGGCUCAGUUACAGUGCAGCUCGGUGCCACUGCUCUCAUCGGACUUCCCAUGAUUUGAUGAAGAUAAGAAAGGUCUGAACAUUGUGUGCCUUCAUUAGAUAUUGUAGAGAUGUUGACUUAAUGUGCCAAACUCUGAGUCACGUACUGAGACUGACCCCACCUGUGCUAACACAGCCUCAAUCCAGAAAUCUUUCAUUUCCUGUAAAAGGCUCAUUAAAGACUGUAAAUGUUUUAGCGAGCGGUCCCCCUCAAUGUACGCUGAAAACGAAACCUGAUCUGCUUCCUUGCUUGUGUUUGUGCCAAUUUCUUCUUUGAAGCGCUCGCUUUGAAUCUGCCGAGUGAUUUGUGAUUUCCCCUUUUUUCUUUAUCAUCACAUGGCCAGAAACAUGACUCAGAUGACUGCUUAUGUUGCUUCAUAUCUGCUCGGUGUGUGUAUAUACCAACGUGUUAAUCUUUACUAAAUGACCACAUCCGCCAUUUGUUUGUGCCUUCCGUGGUGGUCCGUCGGCCUGGUUUGACCUACUUUAGCUCAGUUGUUCUCUUGGGGGCGGUGGCACACCUGGGCCUUGCGUGACCCGGAGCAGCAGCAGCAGCAGCAGCUAAGUCCAUCAGAGAUUGUUCCUCCUCACACAUCUCUGCUUCGUUCCUUUUUUUUUUUUUUUUUUUUUUGCGGUUAUCACAGCCCUCAGGCUAAUGCAGCAAACUUCUGCUCAUCCAUUCCUUAUGCCGCUGAAUUCUCACACUGUAUUUGUUCUUUGUGAGUCAUUUGUUGAAUGUGUGUCUCCGGGUUUACUCUCACAGCGUUUUCCCAUCCAGAGCCCCCGUUGGCAGGAAGGCAGUUUCUCUCAGCGCCGUCCAAAUCAGUAACAUAUGAGCGCUAUAGCGUAAUUUCAUACGCCUGUUUCUGGAAAGCCACAUGUUACAAAUUGAGGGUAUUCUGAGAAGUGUGGGACUGAGUAUUUGUUAGUUUGGACCUUGACAGUCAGGGCUUUGGGUCUGUAGGCCUGUUUAAAUCCAGAAAUUAACCAAUAACAGCUUUGACGUUAUGUUACGUCUGUGUAUUGUGUCACAGAGCUACCCGCUGGAGUUAGGGUCGCCCCACCGGUCCUGUCUUGUUUUGCCACCUUGUACCUCAAGAGGCGACAGUGAGUCACGGCAGCAUCUGUUUUGCUUACAGUCUGACAAAUCAGAGGUGGUUUUUCUUGUUACGUUAGACUCAUCCUGGGAAUGACCCUGCCUGAGGUGGGUGCUGACUAAUGCCUGACCUCCUUCUGGUUCGUCUCCUGCUUCUCCGCCAUCUCAGAGUCAAUGUCCUCAUCAGUCCCUGUGGCCACUGGAGACCGUGUUGCGUCCUGGUCCAGACGUAUUGACUUAGUAACUUAGCUGCUUAACCUGUUUUUGGACCAAUGCUGGUGACCCUCCACGCUCACAUUCCCCACUGGGUCCCUUCACCCCAGUCCUGAAAACCUCCUCCUACCAGUAGUCCAUAGAUUUUGUAGUGCUGAAAACAACAACACUCCAACCUGAUGCUUCAAGCUCUCAAUCGAGGCAGACUCAGCAAUUAGGACUGCUAGCUGCUUGGCUAACCAAGCUAACGGUAGCUAAAAUUAACAGCAGUUAGCGAUUAUUUCUGGUGGUGUUAUUAAUCCGUGGUGGUGUUAAGCCGUCCCUCUGCCCCAGAGACUGAGGAGGAAAUGUACCCAACUUGCUUUGUGGCUACAGUGGUGAGAUUUGCACGUACACACACCCACACAACACACAAGUCAUCUGGAUUGAGUCAUAACAAGGUCGUUAUGUUCUAUGUUUUUGACGCAAUGCUCCAGCUCUCACAAAGCACCACUUCUUCUCAUGCGCGGUUUCCCUUCCUCAAACCAGCAUCUAACUGAUUAAAUUUAAAAAAAAGCUAUAAUGACAUGCUUUUAUCUCUAAUUGGUUUUCGUGUAUUGUUGUGGAAAUUAAACAUCUGGCUAAGAUUUGAAAUGUAUAAAGGACAAAAAAAAGUUUUCCUCCUCAUCCCAUUUUUUUUUCUUUUUAUAAUUUCUCAUCUCUUUGAACACUCCGAGUUGUAUUCUGACCCUCAUAUCUGGACUCUCUGCACGCGCUCGACUUGAAGCUGAAUUAUUUUCCGUGGUAGCAGGGUGAAACUAAUGGCUGGAUGUCAAGAUCAGCCCCGGGGGAAAACAGCUGUGUUUCCAGUGAAACACUCAUGUGUCUGCUCUGUUCUCACAAGUCCACAAACAUGUAGCUCUCUUGUUCUUUUUACUUUUCCUUUUACUGGCAUGCUUUGAUUUACUGAGUUACCGAGGAAUUAAUGUGGAAUGAUCCUGGAACUACUAAAAAAUCAUUGAUGACUGAUCCUUGCAUAACUGUGAUUAAAGCACUGUUUAAGUAGAUGGUGAACAGACCGGAAGAUGCUUACAUAAUGGCUCAGCUAAUUAUUGAUUCACAAAUAUCUGUGAAGCCACAAACUGGCAGCUAUCUUUAUGAUUUGUUCCCGAUUAACUAUUAACCAUAAACUAGUAACAAGUCAUUAGUUACUAAUUAUUUAAUCAUCAGAUACUUUUUUGUGCCCCAAAGGUUAAGUGAAACAUAAUACUGAGUAGUUACUAGGUAAACUCAUUAAUUACUAAUUAAUGAACUAUCGGACAAUAAUUUAAUGUACUGACUUUGCUUGAGAUGGCACAAAAUCGUAACUAAUAAGUAAUUAGUAAUUAUUAACAAGUCUACAUAACUACUUAUUAAUAUGUUUCACUUUACUAGAAGGUACACAAGACACACUACACUAAUGAUUAGGUAAUUACUAUUUAAUCACUUGGUAACUACUAAGUAUUGCUUCACUUAAGCUCAAUGUAUGCAAAAACAGUAACUAAUGAUUAAGUAAUGAGUAGUUAGUGCGUCUUCAUGGUGAGUACUUACAUAUUAUGUUUAAUUUUAUUUGGAACCACACAAAAGAGUAAGUAAUGAUUAAGUAAUUAGUAAUUAAUGAGUCAUUGCUGUUUGUGCUACUCAGGAACUACUCAUUUAUAUAUUUUUUAAAAAAGUAUGUUGGUGGUCAGUAUGUUGAUUUACUGGUAUUUAGAUUAUGCUCAUUAAAGAUUAACUAAUUACCAAGCAGUUUCUGAUUCGUUCCUCACUCAUUACUUAGUGGGAAAGAGGAAAGCAGUAUGGGUGAAUGCAUGACGUCCUCUUGUGUUCACUUGAGCCCACUACAGAUUAAGAUAAGUUAAGUUGGACAUCCAUUCUGUCUUGCUGCAUUCACGCCUCCCUCCACUUCUCAGAACAGACGCAGCUUCUUAUUUUGCACUUUUUUUCCCCCUCCACGUCUUUCACAAUGCCAACAUUUCCUGACGACAUCGAAUGCAUCACAAAUUAACUGAGCCCUCCACUGUUUCCCUCGCUUGCACUGGUCGCAUCUGGCCACAAGGUGCGUCUCCAUCAAACACGCUGGGAGUGUUGAGUCCUCCCAGCGGCUCAGGUCACCUGGAUGCGGGCAGAGAGCACCUGCUGGUGGAGGACGCACCCCCCACCCCUCCCUCCUCCUGAGCCUCACGCAGCACUUUUUAUGUUAAUGACCCGUCCAAAGCACGUCCCACCCCCACUUGGCUUCACAGCGCAGCACUAAUAAGAGAGUCAGUAUUGGCAGGCAUUUCGGUUACUGGUACUUAUUUAAGUGGGAGUCCCCCCUCAUUUUUACGCAUCGGAUAUGUUCUGGAGACUCGUGGUCCUGGGUGGGGUGUGCGUCCUUCUCCUGGGUGCUGAAGGCAGGAGCGGCGGGGGGAGGACGGUGACUUUCCACCGCACUCAGCAGGAUGGGAGCCAGGGCCAGGUGCGCACACGCCCCAGGAGGGACACCAGCGGCGCCUCCAGGCCCUCUCACGGACCCCCCUUCACCUCCUGCAAGACCCCCCUCACCCCCGCCGAGCACGAGGUCCUGGAUGACAACACGCGUGAGACAGGGUUCAACGGUGACGACGGCUCCUAUGUGAUCCUCACGUGGGUGGGCGAUGGCACAGGAGUCAUCCUUGUGCUCUCAACGUUUAGCGCUCUGAUAGAUACCUUCCUCGAGGGAGGCUCCUCGCGGCUUUAUCGAAGUACGGAUUACGGAAAAUCUUUCCAUGACAUCUCCCAGCGGAUCAACAACACCUUCAUAAAGGAGGAGUUUGGCGUCAGUGUUGGACCGGGAAGCUCUGUGAUACUGACAGCGGAUGUACCAGUGGUGGACAACCCAGGCGGGAUCAUCUUCACCUCCACGGAUGCCGGCGCCACCUUCAGGUUCAUCCAGCUGCCCUUCCACCUGGCUCAGCCAAUCACCUACCACUUCCUCAACCCCGACUACCUCGUGGCCCUCAGCAUCGAUGGCGGUCUGUGGCUCUCUCUGGACUUUGGCGCCAAGUGGACAAAAGUUCAUGAUGGAGUGCAUUCUUUCUCAUGGGGGGCCGGCAUCAAUCUGUUCUUCAGCUACAGUCGAGUAGACACAGUUGACGCCGAGGAGCGGGGUGACUUAGUGCUGAAGAGGACAAAGGAUCUGGGGAAGACGUUCACCACCAUCCACGAGGACAUCUUCAGCUUCGGCUACAUCGGCGCCUUUCUCUUCUUCUCUGUGAUGGAAGAUCCGAGAUCCCCUCGUGUCAUGUACUUCUCAUCGGACCAAGGAGACACCUUCAGUCAGGCGCUGCUGCCUUCUGCCUCCACUGAGCAGUUCUACUCCAUCCUGGAUGGAGAUGAAGACAUGCUCUUCAUGCAUGUGGACAACCCAGGAGACACCUUCUUCGGGACCAUGUACACGUCGGACGACCGCGGCAUCCUGUUCUCCAAAUCGCUGGAGCGCCACCUGUUUGACGGGCAGAGGAAGAGCGACUUCACCAACAUAACCUCCCUGAGAGGAGUCUACCUCACUAACAAGUUGGACGACGAUGGACGCAUACGAUCCGUCAUUUCCUUCAACAGGGGAGGGACGUGGAGGCAACUCAGCAAACCUGAGAACGUGGACUGUGGCCAGGUCCAGAGGUGCAACCUUCAUAUUCACGGAGAACACAGUCGCAACAACCGCAUCGUCCCCAUGCUGGCUCUGUCUGAACCGACGGCUGUGGGACUGGUUAUCGCUCACGGUACUGUGGGUGACUCUCUGUCGUCGUCGCAGCACCCGGACGUGUUUGUCUCCUCAGACGGGGGUUAUAACUGGAGAGGGACGCUGAGGGGCCCUCACCACUACAGCAUACUGGACUCUGGGGGUCUGAUCGUGGCCGUGGAGGCCCAGCGUGAAGGACAAGUCAAGACCAUCAAGUUCUCCACAGACGAGGGCCGGUGCUGGAAGUCGUACAACUUCACCGAGCAGCCCUUUUUCUUUGCGGGCCUGGCGUCCGAGCCGGGGACCAAGGCCAUGAAUGUCAGCGUGUGGGGCUUCCGGCCCGAAGAAGACGGCCAGCCCAUGUGGGUGGCCGUCACCAUCGACUUCCAGAGCCUCAUUACAAGAGAGUGUAACGAGCAGGACUAUGAACAGUGGCUGGCCCACUCCACAGACGAAGGAGGCUCGGAGAGAAACGGCUGCGUCCUGGGCGUCAAAGAGACGUACCGGAGGCUGAAGAAACAAUCGGUGUGCAGGAACGGGAAGAGCUUCGUGCGACUACGGCUACUAUCCUCAUGUGAACAGCUCGGAGUGUGUGAGGGAACCCAGCGCCAACAAAACCCUGGAGCCCUGUCUGGAGGGAGAGGAGGACGAGCUGCUCACAGCGGGGUACCGGAAGGUUGCCAGCGACAGGUGCGAGGGCGGGUUCAGUCCUCAGCUGGCCGUGCAGACUGUCAUCAGGCCCUGCGGCGUGAAUACCAGCCCCGCUCCGUCUACCAGGUCCUUGUCUCCAGUCGCAGACUUUGACACACCGCGCGAGAGGCUGGUGCUGAUCCUGGUGUGUGCGGGGGCUGGCGUCGUCGUCCUGAUAGCCGUCAUUUCCGCCAUCUUUGCCGUCAGGAGGGUGGUGUACAGGAACAGGACACCAGUGUACCGAUUCUCCAACCUGCGGAUC
This is an RNA transcript of Acanthopagrus latus (yellowfin seabream), 7868 nucleotides long. It is a transcript of the gene named sortilin, with no coding region annotated. The transcript has 22 exons. NCBI's taxonomy places the organism in Eukaryota, Metazoa, Chordata, Actinopteri, Spariformes, Sparidae. The record is from RefSeq and is a predicted model, not a curated record.